UCGCGGCCUAUCAGCUUGUUGGUGGGGUAAUGGCCUACCAAGGCGUCGACGGGUAGCCGGCCUGAGAGGGCGACCGGCCACACUGGGACUGAGACACGGCCCAGACUCCUACGGGAGGCAGCAGUGGGGAAUAUUGCGCAAUGGACGAAAGUCUGACGCAGCAACGCCGCGUGAGGGAUGACGGCCUUCGGGUUGUAAACCUCUUUCAGCAGGGACGAAGCGAGAGUGACGGUACCUGCAGAAGAAGGACCGGCCAACUACGUGCCAGCAGCCGCGGUAAUACGUAGGGUCCGAGCGUUGUCCGGAAUUAUUGGGCGUAAAGGGCUCGUAGGCGGUUCGUCACGUCGGGAGUGAAAACUCGGGGCUUAACCCCGAGCCUGCUUCCGAUACGGGCAGACUAGAGGUAGGCAGGGGAGAGCGGAACUCCUGGUGUAGCGGUGGAAUGCGCAGAUAUCAGGAAGAACACCGGUGGCGAAGGCGGCUCUCUGGGCCUUACCUGACGCUGAGGAGCGAAAGCGUGGGUAGCGAACAGGAUUAGAUACCCUGGUAGUCCACGCCGUAAACGUUGGGCGCUAGGUGUGGGGGACAUUCCACGUCCUCCGUGCCGCAGCUAACGCAUUAAGCGCCCCGCCUGGGGAGUACGGCCGCAAGGC
This 653-nucleotide ribosomal RNA is filed under the name bacterium 3b92109. Its description in RNAcentral is "bacterial SSU rRNA". It matches the Rfam family "Bacterial small subunit ribosomal RNA", at positions 231 to 894 of the family's 1533-position model. The record is from RNAcentral.